CCUGCUCAAUGCCCAUAAAUAGCCGCAAAAAGUGCUAAGGUAGCAUAAUAACUUGCCUUUUAAUUAAAGGAUAGUAUGAAAGGAAAAACGAUUUAUUAACUAUUCCUAAUUUACACCCAAAAAUUAAUUCAAAACGUAAAAAUACGCCUAAAUUUAAGCAGGACGACAAGACCCUGAUGAACUUAACUCACAGUUAUGCUGGGACGGCACAAAACUAAAUCUUUAUACACCUCUUCAAUUAAAGCCCCCUUAGAAUGAAUCAAGUUACCACAGGGAUAACAGCACCAUAAUCUAAUAAAGUCCCCAUUUAAUAGAUUGAUUAUGACCUCGAUGUUGAAUUAAGUCACUCUUCACAGAAAAAAGUGAAAAAGAAAGUCUGUUCGACUUAUUACCCCUUACAU
RNAcentral lists this ribosomal RNA (401 nucleotides) under Speocera sp. 625 FL-2019. RNAcentral describes it as "partial large subunit ribosomal RNA". It matches the Rfam family "Bacterial large subunit ribosomal RNA", at positions 1858 to 2601 of the family's 2925-position model. Lineage: Eukaryota; Metazoa; Arthropoda; Arachnida; Araneae; Ochyroceratidae. The record is from RNAcentral.